GCUGUGAUGGCCGAGUGGUUAAGGCGUUGGACUUGAAAUCCAAUGGGAUCUUCCCGCGUAGGUUCGAACCCUACUCGCAGCG
This 82-nucleotide transfer RNA is filed under the name Strongylocentrotus purpuratus (purple sea urchin). Its description in RNAcentral is "tRNA-Ser (TGA) (tRNA-Ser-TGA-4-1)". It matches the Rfam family "tRNA". Rfam says of the family: Transfer RNA (tRNA) molecules are approximately 80 nucleotides in length. Their secondary structure includes four short double-helical elements and three loops (D, anti-codon, and T loops). Lineage: Eukaryota; Metazoa; Echinodermata; Echinoidea; Camarodonta; Strongylocentrotidae. The record is from Rfam by way of RNAcentral.